Molecule: unclassified non-coding RNA, 316 nt
Filed under: Hevea brasiliensis (rubber tree)
Lineage: Eukaryota; Viridiplantae; Streptophyta; Magnoliopsida; Malpighiales; Euphorbiaceae
Source: RNAcentral
GAUGGUAAAUGGGAUGACCAAGGGACUGGGCAUGUUACUGUUGACUAUUUGGAGAGAUCAGAAGAGCUGGGCUUGUUUGUUAUUGAUGAAGAAGACAAUGAAACAUUGCUUCUGCAUCGUAUCAUACCAGAUGACAUUUACAGAAAACAAGAAGAUACAAUAAUCUCAUGGAGAGAUCCAGAAUAUUCUACAGAAUUAGCACUGAGCUUUCAGGAGACAACAGGGUGUUCUUAUAUAUGGGACCAUAUCUGUAAUGUGCAAAGAAGUCUUCAGUUUAGUACUCUUAACAAUGAGACAUUUCACAGCAUGAACAGCG